RNAcentral lists this transfer RNA (68 nucleotides) under Neophocaena phocaenoides (Indo-Pacific finless porpoise). Its description in RNAcentral is "tRNA-Lys". RNAcentral also lists the same sequence under 2 other names. Lineage: Eukaryota; Metazoa; Chordata; Mammalia; Artiodactyla; Phocoenidae. The record is from RNAcentral.
CAUUAAGAAGCUAAGCUAGCAUUAACCUUUUAAGUUAAAGAUUGGGACUUACAGGCUCCCCUUAAUGA